ACUUCCGUUAACACCCACGCAUAUCUACACAAGCCCCCUCUCUCAACACACAAACUCAUCUGCACACUUUCGAUAUGUCGGUCGCUCUCCAAAGCCACGUGCCGCAGAAAACGGACGCCCCGCUUCGUCUCGGCAUCUGUUUGCCCACUCUCAGCAGGGACACGAGGGCGUGCUGAAGUGACGACCUUUGCCAUACUCUGGUAUCUCUCCUCACACGUUUCCAGCACACCCUCUCAACCGCUAUCCAGCGUACACUCAAUCAAACACUGCGAUUUCCUUGUGUGCAUCUCCGCUGCUUUCCUUGUUCGUUCUCUUCGUUGCUCGUCGUCUCCUCCCGUCCCUCCCUCCUAGCGCACUGCAGCGGUCUCUUUGCCUUCCGUCUUGGUGCUCAGCCACCGCUUCCUGCUUCCUUGAUGACGGACGGAGAGGGGGCCGCUGCCGUGCGCGGUGUCGCGGUGCCCGCUGCCCCAGACUCUGUCUUAUGAGGCCAGGCAGUUCCCUCACCCCCCCCCCCCGCCCCCUCCAUUCCUGCGAGUGCAGAGCCACAUCUGGCGGUGACCGCGUCCGUCACCCGCUACGUGGGGAAGUUAUAGCGAGUCCUCGCUGCUGAUGUGGGCGGCCAGGUCGCGGAGGGCGCGGCGCCGGGGCGCCCUGCGAGGCGGGGAGUGUGGGCAGAGCGCGAGGCAGGGGCUGCACUGAGACGGCUGCGUCGGGGCGUUUGCUGCAACGCGUGUGCCUACGGCUGCUUCGCACCACGCGACGGGGCCUGUGGCAGGGCCGGAGGCGGUGGGAAGUUGAGCAUGUGUCGUAUGGCGGAGCGUGUACACGUUGCAAAGCAGAAAAAAAAAGGUUAAGAUGGAGGUUGCCAUGGGGCUCGAAAGGCGCGCCCGGUGUGCACGUGCGCGUCUGUCCGCGGCUUGCUCCUGUCUCUGUCUGUGUUCGCCCACCUCUUGAUCUUCCUCCCUCUGGACCUGUUGUUCUCAC
RNAcentral lists this unclassified non-coding RNA (984 nucleotides) under Leishmania donovani. RNAcentral's name for it is "gene:unknown". The record is from RNAcentral. Lineage: Eukaryota; Euglenozoa; Kinetoplastea; Trypanosomatida; Trypanosomatidae.